GGUCCCGCCUGCCCAGUGACACAUUUUAAACGGCCGCGGUAUUCUAACCGUGCAAAGGUAGCGUAAUCACUUGUCUUCUAAAUAAAGACCUGUAUGAACGGCUAAAUGAGGACAGAUCUGUCUCUUACAACUAAUCAGUGAAACUGAUCUUUCAGUACAAAAGCUGAAAUACCAACAUAAGACGAGAAGACCCUGUGGAGCUUUAAACCUACCAUUAACAAAACUUAAAACUAUUUUUAAACUAAUGGAAAGUUUUGAGUUGGGGCGACUUCGGAAUAAAACACAACUUCCGAGCACAGAACCACUAAUUCUUACUAAGGCCAACAAGCCAAAGUGUAAAACAACAGACCCAGUCAUACUGAUCAACGAACCAAGUUACCCCAGGGAUAACAGCGCUAUCUUCUUCAAGAGUCCAUAUCGACAAGAAGGUUUACGACCUCGAUGUUGGAUCAGGACACCCAAAUGGUGCAGCCGCUAUUAAAGGUUCGUUUGUUCAACGAUU
Molecule: ribosomal RNA, 502 nt
Filed under: Ophiomorus punctatissimus
Lineage: Eukaryota; Metazoa; Chordata; Lepidosauria; Squamata; Scincidae
Description: partial 16S ribosomal RNA
Rfam family: Bacterial large subunit ribosomal RNA
Source: RNAcentral